Molecule: ribosomal RNA, 496 nt
Filed under: uncultured bacterium
Lineage: Bacteria
Description: partial 16S ribosomal RNA
Rfam family: Bacterial small subunit ribosomal RNA
Source: RNAcentral
GAUGAACGCUUUCCGCUUUCCUAAUACCUUCAAGUCGAUCUACCAGACGAGGAGCUUGCUCCUCUGACGUUAGCGGCGGACGGGUGAGUAACACGUGGAUAACCUACCUAUAAGACUGGGAUAACUUCGGGAAACCGGAGCUAAUACCGGAUAAUAUAUUGAACCGCAUGGUUCAAUAGUGAAAUACGGUUUUGCUUGCACUUAUAGAUGGAUCCGCGCCGCAUUAUCUAUUUGGUAAGGUAACGGCUUACCCAUUCACCGAUGCGUAGCCGACCUGAGAGGGUGAACGGCCACACUGGAACUGAGACACGGUCCAGACUCCUACGGGAGGCAGCAGUAGGGAAUCUUCCGCAAUGGGCGAAAGCCUGACGGAGCAACGCCGCGUGAGUGAUGAAGGUCUUCGGAUCGUAAAAAGAUGGUAUUAGGGAAGAACAAAUGUGUAAGUAACUAUGCACGUCUUGACGGUACCUAAUAAGAAAGAAAAGGAGAACUACGG